Molecule: transfer RNA, 75 nt
Filed under: Candidatus Woesebacteria bacterium CG_4_10_14_0_2_um_filter_44_9
Lineage: Bacteria; Candidatus Woeseibacteriota
Also listed under: 1 other name
Description: tRNA-His
Rfam family: tRNA
About the family: Transfer RNA (tRNA) molecules are approximately 80 nucleotides in length. Their secondary structure includes four short double-helical elements and three loops (D, anti-codon, and T loops).
Source: RNAcentral
GUGGGUGUAGCUCAGUUGGUUUAGAGCGCCACUUUGUGGAAGUGGAAGUCGCGAGUUCAAGUCUCGUCACCCACC